This 7639-nucleotide long non-coding RNA is filed under the name Jatropha curcas. RNAcentral's name for it is "long non-coding RNA (JCUR_LNC000480)". The record is from RNAcentral. Lineage: Eukaryota; Viridiplantae; Streptophyta; Magnoliopsida; Malpighiales; Euphorbiaceae.
AUUACUAUUGGAUUGCAGGAACCUCUCAGGUGUAAAUUCUAAUGGGUUUUUCCAGUACUUUGGAUCUCUUCCAAUCGACCAUAUAUUCACGAAAAGUAAAGAAUUGGCAGGUAUUGUAUACCCAUUAAUCUUGCAAUCUUGAAUUGAUUUUCUUGAAAGCAUCGGAAUUGGUGGGUGCAAUCUAAAUGUUUCCUUUAAAAUAGCUUGAAUAUAUUCAAGCUUUGGAUUGUCAGAUUCUUGAACAAUUCUGUUAUUACCCACAACUCUAUCAAUUUCUUCACGAGCUUUUUCUGCAACUUUUGGAUUGUUUAUAAGCUCUGCCAUUGCCCAUUCUAUAGUAAUUGCUGUUGUGUCUGUAGCUGCUGUGAAGAAAUCCUGCAAUAAGAAUAAAUUAAUUGAGUUUCAAUUGCAUUAUAAACAAUGCUCGCAAAGAGUCCUGUUAAAACCAAGAAAUAUAGGCCAGCCUGCAAUCCACACCAGAAUAAAUGGAAUUUUCCGAUUAGAACUGCAUGCGCGCGCGCCCGCGUGUGUAUAAAAGAAAGUAUAUCUCAUAAUUAUAAAAUAAAUGUGCUAUUUUGUUUUCUCUCAGAGGGAUUUUAUUUCAGACAAGAAAAUAAUUUAAGAUUAUAUUUGUAAUAUUUUAAUAAUCUGGACAGUUUUUUUAAUCUAAAAAGUGCAUAGGUACUCAGGUAGGUCCCAACACUAGAACUCAAUAAUUAAGUCACAGCACUGCAAUUGGAAUGUAAAUAUGACCAAACCCUAAAGUUGGAAUAAAUAAAUUGAUUAGUCAUUGCUCUACAAUCCAUUUAAAUAAGCUACAACAUAAUUAAAAUUGUUCAUAAUACAUUAUAAAUAAUUUUUCAAGAAUUAAAAAUCAAAUAAAAUUGAGUAAUUAUAGUCAAAUUUUCAAUUUAACUAAUUCAAUUCCGUUUUUAAAAUACUUACCAAAAUCAAGGCCUUGAUAUGGUUUUUGUUUAACCUAAUUUCUGCAUUAUCAUCCUCCAUAACAUCAAGCAUUAUAUCAAGAAAAUCUUUAGCUUCCCCUUUGCAUUUGUUUGUCUUCCUUCGUUGUUCUCUAUCUGUAAUUAGCUUCUCCAGCAAACCAUCAUAGUUCCUAUAAAUCUCAUCAGUUCUCUUUCUAAAACCCUGCAAAUCAAAGUUUUUACAAAACCAGAUAAAGUCAGAAACAUUAAACUCUCCAAAAAUCUGUGUAACGUCUCUUACUACAGUUCUUGUAAUUUCAGCUUCACUGUCUGUAUCAGAUGAUCUCAUACUCAACACCAUCAUAGAAAUUAUAUUAUUCGAUAAUUUAAUCAAUUCUUGCGUCACAUUAACAAUUUGACCAUUUCUUGAAUAAAAACCAGCAAGAAAAUGGUGCAACUCUUUACUUCUUAGAGGAAGAAACUGAUUAAGCAUUCGAUUUCCUAAAAGCUCGAAAGUACUAAUUUUUUUUAUGAAUUUCCAGUAAGGUCCAUAGGGAGCGAAAGCGAAAGAUGAGCCGUAAGUAAGACGAUCGAUGGCUAAUGAGUGUUUACGAGAAGAGAAUGUAAGUUCAUGAGUUUUUAAAAGUCGUUCAGCUAGUUCAGGCGUUGAAGCGACGACACAGGACACAGAACCAAGAUUGAGAUAGAUUAAAGGACCAAGACGAGACGAUAUGUCGCGGAAAGAAUGGUGGAUUAGAGGUCCAAGAAGAUGGAGAUGGCCUAGUAUGGGUAAGGCUAUAGGGCUUGGAGGAAGAUUUUGCCAUUUUUUCAUAAAGAGAGGGAAAAAGAGAAAGAAAAAGAAAACCGAGAAGGAUAAGAGUUCAGGUAUCAUAUUUGUAUUAUUUUCUGUAUGUAUAACUUAUGGGUACAUAGGAUUUGCUUAUGCGGGUAAUGUAUAUAUAGGGGACUAGUGUGUAUAUUUAUACUAGAGAUGAACACGGGACAAAUUUCAUAACCGAAACCUCUCACUCUUCGCAUGCGUAAUAAGAUCAAUCACACCAUAUCUAAUUGACAUAUCUACAACUACAAUAAAUAUAUAUAUAUAUAUAUAGUUGGAAUGAGAGAAUAAAUAACUAGUUAGUAUGUGUUUAGAGUGACGAAUUUUGGGCUCAAGAUUUUAUUAAAAUUAAAAUAAAUUAAAUCCAGGCUCAAAGUUCCAAACCUUAAUAUCAUCAAAUACUAAAAAGAAUUAAUUACUUAAAUAAAAUAUUAAAUUACAAGAAUUUUUCCAGUAAAAAAAAAAAACUAUUAGAAUUAUAGAGUUGUCCUUCAUUUAUACUUCUCUUUUUCUAAUUAAUCUCAUAGUUUAUUCUCAUUUUCACCUUUCAUGGAUAUCCGACUUAUCAUAAUCUAUUUAAAAUGGGUUCAGGUAUUAGUUAAAUGAGCGUAAAAAAUGUGCAGAUAUUAAAAUUUUAAAUGGUUUUAUAUAUAUGGAUAUUUCAAAAUGAAUUUUAAGUGGAUUUAAGAUGGGUAUGAGUAUCAAAUAAAAAAUUAAAGUAUAAUUAAUUAAUUGAGCAGUAAAUUUAAUUAUCAAGUCAAACUUGAGAUUAAUAAAAAUAUUUACCACAUCUAUUUGGUCCUCCAUCCUCUCUCCACGAACUUGAGUUUGUUACCUCCCUUUCUCUUUAUCUAACGCGUUGCCUCUUUAUUAGUUUUAAAACAACCGUGUUAACUAACGCUGUCGUUUUAGAAAUGAGUCAGAAUUGAAUAUUAGCAGAGCAUGGAAAUAUCAUUUUCAAUAGUAAAAAAUAACCCCAUUAAUAUAGAAAAUUCUUUAAUAAUACAUUUUAAUUUACAUUAAUCUAAAAUAAAUAAUUUAAUACUAUAUCACUAUUAUUGAGAAGUAUAAAAUUUUGAGGAAUUAAAAUAUUUCCUAAACUGAUAAUUAAUUGAUUAAAAUGUAACUUUUAGAGAUUAUUAGACUUUAUAUGUUUCUAAAAAAUAACUUAUUAGAAAACAUUUUCUAAAUUUUUUAUUGUAAAAUAUUUUAACUAAUUUUCAAUAUUGCUACUAAAUAAUAGAAAACUAAGUUAUUUGAAAAAUAUUUUCUAUGAAAAAUGUUUUUUGUGGUAAGUAUUUUUUCAAAGAUAAGUUAUUUUCUAGAAUUUAUUCCAAAAUUCGAUUUAAUUUCAUUCAAAAUAUUAAAAUACUUGAUUUUAAAAUAAUAAAAUAUAUAAUCAUUAAGGGGUGAAUCAGAUACGGAAUGACAACAGUUCCUUCUUCCUUCACCACAAUCCACUUGGUUCUCUCGCUCCUUGCUUGUGGAGCAGCAUAACGAAAAAAGAAAUCAAGAAUAAAAAAAGAGCCAGCCGGCAACCUUUUUUAGAAAGAGAGGCUCCGGCGACAAGAUGAUGUCUCAAUUUUCAACUCCGGAUAUGAAAUGCCUUUGAAAACUUUAGUAGGAAGCGCUUUGAAUAUAAGAUGGUUUCAUCAAAAAAUAAUAAAAAAAUAAAAAGAUAGCAUGCAUUAAGCUAAAUAAAUAUGAAAAAAUAAAACAAGUUUUCACCACUCAUAUAUGCAUCCUCUAUAAAAGGCAGAACAUGUCAACUUCCAUUUUCCUUUGUAAUUUCCCCAUCAGGAUAAGAUGAAUUAAUUACAUUCUUGCAUUUCAAUUUUCCUCUUUCACUAGCAAGAAUUGAUGACUUUAUGGACAUUACAUCCACACCAACCUUCUAUUUUCUUCUUUUUUUUUUUAUUUUAAAAAUAUAACUCACUAAUUAGGAUUUAGACCUAAUUCAAUUCAUGUAAUAAAUGGAGUUAACCUAAUACUAUGGAAUGGGAUGAGAGUAGAACACGAAAUAAUUAAUUUAUAACAUUGUUUUAAAUUUAAAUGUAAAAUACUUAUUUUAUAAAAUAAUGUAGUAGAGAAUUUUAAAAAUUUCUUUACUGAUACAGAAUUUUUGCAUAUAAAAUACCCAUUGAUUUUAAAAAAUUUCAAUACUUAACUAAUUGUGAUUUCCAUUUAGACAUAAGAAAAUUAAAAAUUCAGAUACUAAUUAUAAUAUUACCUCUAAUUAAAUUUUUUAUUUUUAAUUUUAUUUUCUUUUAUUUAGGUUUGAAUCGAUGAAUUUUAUUUGAUUGCAAUUGAUAACGCAACAAAAUAUAUAUAUAUAUAUAUAUAUAUAUAUAUUUUGGUUUUGUAAAAAAUAUAAUACUAUAAAAUAUGAAACAUUUUGAUUGAUUCUGGAUUAAACUUAUUGCUCCAUCCCAUGUACCCGAAAACUUAUCAUGUCUCAUCCUAAAUAAUAAAAUGGCACGAGACAAGACUACGUACUAUUGGAACGUGAUUGAAUUAAAAUUCUAAAGUUUUUUUAGGUUGUUAAACUUAACUAAAUAACUAAUUGAAUUAUAAAUUUAUAAUAUUACUAUGUAGUUUAGUAUUUCUGGAUAAGAGUUUUUUAUUUGUUUUAUUUUUGUUUUAAACACAAUUUUUAAAUUACAAUUCACUAAGUAACUUCAAAUAUUUAAAGCUUGAUUUGAAUAAUGAUAAAACACUAUUCUCUUUCUCAAAAUAUAAAUAUUUUUGGGUGAUUAUUUUAUCCUAAAUUAUAUUCCAUCCAUCCUAAAAUAUAAAUCAUUUUGAGUAUUUUAAGGAGUAAUAAAUAAUAUUUCUUCAAUAUUAUCUUUAUUUACAUUAAAUACAAUUACUACCUUCACAAGUUAAUCUUGAUUUUAAGAUAAAUGUUAAUUUAAUUAAAUUACUUUUUAUUUUAUUAUAAUUAAAAAAAUUAAUUGUUUCCUUAAUUUCAGGUAAAAACCUUCAACAAUUAUAUUUUAUGACAAAAAAAAUAUAAAUAGCUUCAAAUAUAAUGACAAAACAUUUUGAUUUGAAUAAGGUAUAAAAAAAUUCAAAUAUAUCUUUGAAACAAAUGCAGUUAGAAAAAGCUUACAACAAUUGACAGAUUCUUCGAGAACAAAGCAAUAAAUUAAAAUAAAAUUACACAAUAUAUCGCAACAACGAGAAUCACACUAAUACUAUUAUAAUUAAAAAAUUAAAAAUUUUAAUAAAAGAAUUAUUUAUUACAACUGUGCGUAGGACGGAUACGCCGGUAGUAUUUUUAUAAAAGCGAGGGCGGUUGCGCCAUCUCCUCGCUCCGUGACUGCACCCUGUGAAAUGGAAAAACAUGUGAGUUUAUUUAUUUCAGUUCAGCUUUCUUAGUAUUUUCUUCUUUCAUUUUUUCAGAGGAAGAAUUAAUGAGUAGAGCUGGACAAGCAUGCAAGAAGAAUACCGACAUCACAUCUACACCAACUACUGCCCUUUUUUUAUUACUAUUUUUCACGUUUACUAUUUUUAUUACUAUAAUUAUGUAAUAGUUAAAUUAAAUAGUUAUGUUGUUUCUUUGGCAAAUCAAAUUACUCGUUAGUAUUAAUUGUUGUAUAAAUUUAUUAAUUGUUAUAGAUCAUAUGAUAAAAAAAAUAAUUUUUAAUUUUUUUUACACUUACACACGUGUGUAAUUUAGAGAGAAAUUGAAGUUUCAAUCACUAUUUCAAAAAUAAAUUCAAUGCAGAAAUAGAGAGAUUUAACAAUCACUCAAAUAUUGUCGAUAGAUCGAAUAUGUAAUUUUAUUUGACAUUUACACAGUACUUGGAGUAAAUACAUAUAAAAUUUAUUUCAUUAUCAAAUAAAUUUCAUCAGUAUAUUAUAUUUUGAUUCAUAUAUUUGAUUUAAAAUUUUAAACUUUAAAUUUUAAAAUACAAAUUAUAUUUGAAAUGCCAGAAAUUUUAAUAAUUUUUAUGAAUUUCAUUUAAAUCAAAAUGCAUAAAUAUAUGAAAUCGGAUUUCAUUUCGUAUUAUGUUUUAUCUUAGUGAAAAUUUCAUUUUCUUUCUAAAAAAAUUAUUUUUUAAUGAAAUUCACAUUCGUACGUUCAGAUAUAUAACCAGACAUAAUAUUAAAAUUUGUCUAUAAAUAAAUUUUCAUAUUUGGAUGAAUCAUGAAAUUCAUUUAAAUAACUAAUUUUUAUUUAUAAUUAAUUUUUAUUUAUAAUUAAUCAUUAUUUAUAAUUAAUGAAAAUGAGAGGAGAACAUAAGCUUAUUGUUGAUGAAAAUAAUUACUCAUGAAAUGCUAAGUGCGUUGCCUAUGAUUUAGGGAACUGAAGGAAAACUGGAGAAUUCUUUAAAGAGAAUUGAUUUUUCAUACUAUCAAAUUAUUUGAUAUUAUUAUUCCGUUGCUAAUUACUUAAUUAGUUAUGAACUUAAUUAGGAAGUCACACGCACCCAAUGACCUCAUUAAUCAAGUAUAUAUACUGUUUUGAUUUAAUUAAAGAGUUUAAUUAGUUAAUCAAAAUAAUGAAAUUAAAGUGCUUACUAAUACUAAAUUAGGGUUUACAUCUGAACUACAUAUAUUUACAUGCGAUGUAGAUGCGAGAAUUCAAUUGAAUAAUAAUAAAUUAUAUCUUUCUUGAUUCAAUUUAUUGAUAGAGCUAUCAACGUUUAUUGGCCGGUUUUGCUAACGCUCAUUACUAGCAACUUGACAAGCUUUUGGUUAGUCGCAAAUAGAGGCUCAAACGAUGUUAACUCUUUAAUAUUUUAUGCUUUCAUUAUAGAUCACUAAUGUGAUCGAAAUAUCUCUCGUUGUUUUUUUCUCUCUAAAAUUUGAAAAAACAUUAUGGGCUGUAUAAGAGAGAGAUCCUGAAACUCAAAUUUGGGACAUCUCACUUUCCACAUAUUUUAUAAAGCAACAGAAAGACCAUCUAGAUUAUAUCUAAUUGACAUUAUUUUAUUUUUCUUGGAGUUAUCUUUUUAUCCUUUUGGUGUAAAUUCAAACCGUAAAAUGUAAUUAAAGGUCUUUGGCCUUUACAGUGAAUGCACUCCCAAUUGGUAUUUUCACUCUCGUAGAAAUUGAAAGCACUUAUCAUUUCGACCAAUUGUUUGCUGAUAUUUUGUGUGAUGAAUUAUUAAGAGAAUAUAUAAAUGACUUAAAAUGUCUAUAAAUUACAUAUAAAUUCUCGAUCUCUCUAAUAUUAAAUUUCAAUGUCUUGGAUUUUUGGAUCUUAUUGAGUGAUAAAAAUCAUAUAUAUUAACGAUCCAAAGUAGUACAAAUAUACAAAUCGAUCCAGACAAAGCAUAAACUAAAAAACACCAGUUUAGCAAACUAGCAAAUAAUGCGAAAUUAAGUAGCACUUAAUGCAUCAAGAAUAUGUGGCAAACGUGGCACAGGAAUGCAAACUAGAUCAUGAAGUCUUGGUGCAGUUAAUCCAGGCCGUUCAGUCAUAAAAAAAACAUGAUCACCACCAUUAAUCUUGGCUUCAGGAGGAUUAACCACUUCCCAAUCAAAGCACUGAAUCAUAGCCGCAAGUGUUGUAGGCAAUUCUCGCAUGGCUAAAGAUAUGCCAGGGCACCUUCCCCUUCCUGUCCCAAAAGGCAACAGCUGAAAAUGUUGUCCUCUAACAUCUACAGGUCUUGUUUGGCAAAAUUCCUGGUUACUAUUACUAUUGGAUUGCAAGAACCUCUCAGGUUUAAAUUCUAAUGGGUUUUUCCAGUACUUUGGAUCUCUUCCAAUCGACCAUAUAUUCACGAAAAGUAAAGAAUUGGCAGGUAUUGUAUACCCAUUAAUCUUGCAAUCUUGAAUUGAUUUUCUUGAAAGCAUCGGAAUUGGUGGGUGCAAUCUAAAUGUUUCCUUUAAAAUAGCUUGAAUAUAUUCAAGCUUUGGAUUGUCA